Long non-coding RNA from Gallus gallus (chicken), 934 nucleotides. Lineage: Eukaryota; Metazoa; Chordata; Aves; Galliformes; Phasianidae. The record is from Ensembl.
GGCAGUGAAGGUGAGGGUAUUUCACUGGAGAUCCCUGCAUGUCUGAGACCUUCUGAAGGCAAAACCCAGGAACAGCCUCAAAAUUAUUUCCUGCCAGAAGCAGAGGGUUAAAGAGGGAAGCGAGAAGGAGGAGACGGCGCAGGGGCCCAGAUGGAGAUAAGUGAUGCUCAGACGUAGCUUGGUGGCCUGAACGUCAUCCUUUAUCUUUUGUGAGCACAUAUGGACAAAGACACACGAGUACUGUAUUGCAAAGGGCCAGCCUUCAUUCCUAGGGUGCUGAGCUAGCACUGUGCUGCCAGGACAGGAUGCUACACAUCUUCUGGGUCUUUCUGACAUGAGAGUGAAACAAGCAGCAGAUCAGCAUCCAGGAGGCAAAGCUUCGCAGUCACGCACCAUGGGCGUGCUCCCAGCUCUUGUCUUGCCAUCCCCACUUGCACCACUCCUCCUUUUCUGAAAAUCCCAGCUCCUGGACUCACUGAGCUACGUAAGGCAUUCACUUUCCUCUUUUCCUAAGAAAAAGCCUACAGAGAAAAUCUUGACAUGCUCAGCACCACCCAUGUGCCGGAGGGUAACACAUGGUUACGGUGAGGAUUAAGAGGACUUCACUGCAAAUAGUUGGGCUGUUUGACUCAUGCUCAGGGCUUUGUUUGUUUUGCUCAUCCCUGGAUGGAAAGGCUUCUAACUGGAUUUCCUUAGCAAUUUGUGGCUGCUUUCACUGUCUCUGGUCGAUGUAAAGCAAUGCAAAGAGGCUGGUGGCUAUCAAAGCUGCAGAGUCUCCAGCCUGGAUUCCUCUGGUGCUGCUCUGCCUCAGCCAGGAAAUGAGAGCUGGAAGUCACAUAACCAGUGUUGGCAACCCACAGAGUCAAUGGAAAUCAUAGAACCAUCGAAUCAUUGCCACUGGAAAAGACCACUGAGAUCACCACCAAGUUCAAAC